RNAcentral lists this ribosomal RNA (497 nucleotides) under uncultured bacterium. RNAcentral's name for it is "partial 16S ribosomal RNA". It matches the Rfam family "Bacterial small subunit ribosomal RNA", at positions 28 to 507 of the family's 1533-position model. The record is from RNAcentral.
GAUGAACGCUGGCGGCGUGCCUAAUACAUGCGAGUCGAGCGAACAGAUAAGGAGCUUGCUCCUUUGACGUUAGCGGCGGACGGGUGAGUUACACGUGGAUAACCUACCUAUAAGACUGGGAUAACUUCGGGAAACCGGAGCUAAUACCGGAUAACAUAUUGAACCGCAUGGUUCAAUAGUGAAAGGCGGCUUUGCUGUCACUUAUAGAUGGAUCCGCGCCGUAUUAGCUAGUUGGUAAGGUAACGGCUUACCAAGGCAACGAUACGUAGCCGACCUGAGAGGGUGAUCGGCCACACUGGAACUGAGACACGGUCCAGACUCCUACGGGAGGCAGCAGUAGGGAAUCUUCCGCAAUGGGCGAAAGCCUGACGGAGCAACGCCGCGUGAGUGAUGAAGGUCUUCGGAUCGUAAAACUCUGUUAUCAGGGAAGAACAAAUGUGUAAGUAACUGUGCACAUCUUGACGGUACCUGAUCAGAAAGCCACGGCUAACUACGUG